This 102-nucleotide microRNA precursor is filed under the name Chlorocebus sabaeus (green monkey). Its description in RNAcentral is "miRNA (ENSCSAG00000026008.1)". Lineage: Eukaryota; Metazoa; Chordata; Mammalia; Primates; Cercopithecidae. The record is from RNAcentral.
UCUAAUUCAUUAAGUCUGGGGUGGGGACCAAGGAUUUGCAUUUCUAACAAGUUCCCAGGUGAUGCUGAUGCUGCUGGUCCAGGACUCUCACUUUAAGAAUAA